CCUACGGGAGGCAGCAGUGGGGGAUAUUGCACAAUGGGGGAAACCCUGAUGCAGCGACGCCGCGUGAGUGAAGAAGUAUUUCGGUAUGUAAAGCUCUAUCAGCAGGGAAGAAAAUGACGGUACCUGAUUAAGAAGCCCCGGCUAACUACGUGCCAGCAGCCGCGGUAAUACGUAGGGGGCAAGCGUUAUCCGGAUUUACUGGGUGUAAAGGGGGCGUAGACGGCAGCACAAGUCUGGAGUGAAAUGCCGGGGCUUAACCCCGGAACUGCUUUGGAAACUGUGCAGCUAGAGUGCAGGAGAGGUAAGUGGAAUUCCUAGUGUAGCGGUGAAAUGCGUAGAUAUUAGGAGGAACACCAGUGGCGAAGGCGGCUUACUGGACUGUAACUGACGUUGAGGCCCGAAAGCGUGGGGAGCAAACAGGAUUAGAUACCCGUGUAGUC
This 440-nucleotide ribosomal RNA is filed under the name uncultured bacterium. Its description in RNAcentral is "partial 16S ribosomal RNA". It matches the Rfam family "Bacterial small subunit ribosomal RNA", at positions 338 to 795 of the family's 1533-position model. The record is from RNAcentral.